Molecule: ribosomal RNA, 441 nt
Filed under: uncultured bacterium
Lineage: Bacteria
Description: partial 16S ribosomal RNA
Rfam family: Bacterial small subunit ribosomal RNA
Source: RNAcentral
CCUACGGGUGGCAGCAGUGGUGAAUAUUGGUCAAUGGGCGAAAGCCUGACCCAGCAACGCCGCGUGAAGGAAGAAGGCUUUCGGGUUGUAAACUUCUUUUGACAGGGAAGAGCAGAAGACGGUACCUGUCGAAUAAGCCACGGCUAACUACGUGCCAGCAGCCGCGGUAAUACGUAGGUGGCAAGCGUUGUCCGGAUUUACUGGGUGUAAAGGGUGCGUAGGCGGUCCGUUAAGUCAGCGGUAAAAUUGCGGGGCUCAACCCCGUCGAGCCGUUGAAACUGGCAGACUUGAGUUGGCGUGAAGUACGCGGAAUGCGCGGUGUAGCGGUGAAAUGCAUAGAUAUCGCGCAGAACUCCGAUUGCGAAGGCAGCGUACCGGCGCCAGACUGACGCUGAGGCACGAAAGCGUGGGGAUCGAACAGGAUUAGAUACCCCUGUAGUC